UACGUGCCAGCAGCCGCGGUAAUACGUAGGGGGCAAGCGUUAUCCGGAAUCACUGGGCGUAAAGGGUGCGUAGGCGGCUUAGCAAGCCAGGGGUGAAAGGCAUUGGCUCAACCAAUGUAAGCCUUUGGAACUGUUAAGCUUGAGUGCAGGAGAGGUAAGUGGAAUUCCUAGUGUAGAGGUGAAAUUCGUAGAUAUUAGGAGGAACACCAGUGGCGAAGGCGACUUACUGGACUGUAACUGACGCUGAUGCACGAAAGCGUGGGUAACGAACAGGAUUAGAUACCCUGGUAG
Molecule: ribosomal RNA, 291 nt
Filed under: uncultured bacterium
Lineage: Bacteria
Description: partial 16S ribosomal RNA
Rfam family: Bacterial small subunit ribosomal RNA
Source: RNAcentral